AGUGAACGCUGGCGGUAGGCCUAACACAUGCGAGUCGAACGGCAGCACAGUAAGAGCUUGCUCUUACGGGUGGCGAGUGGCGGACGGGGGAGGAAUACAUCGGAAUCUACUUUUUCGUGGGGGAUAACGUAGGGAAACUUACGCUAAUACCGCAUACGACCUACGGGUGAAAGCAGGGGAUCUUCGGACCUUGCGCGAUUGAAUGAGGCGAUGUCGGAUUAGCUAGUUGGCGGGGUAAAGGCCCACCAAGGCGACGAUCCGUAGCUGGUCUGAGAGGAUGAUCAGCCACACUGGAACUGAGACACGGUCCAGACUCCUACGGGAGGCAGCAGUGGGGAAUAUUGGACAAUGGGCGCAAGCCUGAUCCAGCCAUACCGCGUGGGUGAAGAAGGCCUUCGGGUUGUAAAGCCCUUUUAUUGGGAAAGAAGAGCAGCAGGUUAAUACCCCGCUGUUCUGACGGUACCCAAAGAAUAAGCACCGGCUAACUUCGUG
Molecule: ribosomal RNA, 492 nt
Filed under: uncultured bacterium
Lineage: Bacteria
Description: partial 16S ribosomal RNA
Rfam family: Bacterial small subunit ribosomal RNA
Source: RNAcentral